GACGGGACCCCGCACAAGCGGUGGAUCAUGUUGUUUAAUUCGAUGAUACGCGAAGAACCUUACCAGGUCUUGACAUCCCCCCGCGAUGCUUUAGAGAUAAAGCGGAGGUAUUCGGGGAGACAGGUGGUGCAUGGUUGUCGUCAGCUCGUGUCGCGAGAUGUUGGGUUAAGUCCCGUAACGAGCGCAACCCUUGUCCUUAGUUACCAGCACGUUAUGGUGGGCACUCUAAGGAGACUGCCGGUGACAAACCGGAGGAAGGUGGGGAUGACGUCAAGUCAUCAUGGCCCUUACGGCCUGGGCUACACACGUGCUACAAUGGUCGGUACAAAGGGUUGCCAAGCCGCGAGGUGGAGCUAAUCCCAUAAAACCGAUCGUAGUCCGGAUCGCAGUCUGCAACUCGACUGCGUGAAGUCGGAAUCGCUAGUAAUCGUGAAUCAGAAUGUCACGGUGAAUACGUUCCCGGGCCUU
RNAcentral lists this ribosomal RNA (468 nucleotides) under uncultured Pseudomonas sp. Its description in RNAcentral is "partial 16S ribosomal RNA". It matches the Rfam family "Bacterial small subunit ribosomal RNA", at positions 912 to 1382 of the family's 1533-position model. The record is from RNAcentral. Lineage: Bacteria; Pseudomonadati; Pseudomonadota; Gammaproteobacteria; Pseudomonadales; Pseudomonadaceae.